Molecule: ribosomal RNA, 441 nt
Filed under: uncultured Fluviicola sp.
Lineage: Bacteria; Pseudomonadati; Bacteroidota; Flavobacteriia; Flavobacteriales; Crocinitomicaceae
Description: bacterial SSU rRNA
Rfam family: Bacterial small subunit ribosomal RNA
Source: RNAcentral
CCUACGGGAGGCAGCAGUGAGGAAUAUUGGUCAAUGGGCGCAAGCCUGAACCAGCCAUGCCGCGUGCAGGAAGACGGUCCUAUGGAUUGUAAACUGCUUUUAUUUGGGAAUAAACCUCUUUACGUGUAGAGAGCUGAAGGUACCAAAUGAAUAAGCACCGGCUAACUCCGUGCCAGCAGCCGCGGUAAUACGGAGGGUGCAAGCGUUAUCCGGAAUCAUUGGGUUUAAAGGGUCCGCAGGCGGACUUAUAAGUCAGUGGUGAAAUCUCUCGGCUUAACCGAGAAACUGCCAUUGAUACUGUAAGUCUUGAAUUCGGUCGAAGUGGGCGGAAUGUGACAUGUAGCGGUGAAAUGCUUAGAUAUGUCACAGAACACCGAUAGCGAAGGCAGCUCACUAGGCCUGGAUUGACGCUCAGGGACGAAAGCGUGGGGAGCAAACAGG